GCUGGCACCUGACCCACCACAGGCACUUGUUUAUUGACCCAUGUCCUAGUUCAAUAUCUUAGAGACCGCUGUCCUAGUUCAACAUGUUGGAGACCCAUGUCCUAGUUCCACAUCUUAGAGAUUCCUUUCCUAGUUCAACAUGUUGGAGACCCAUGUGCAAGUUCAAUCAACACCAAAGGCAAAAUUCAGUACCAGGUUUAUAAUUUGAAGGAAACAUUUAUUCAACAACAGUUUCAAUAGAACGAGGUUGAAUUCGCAGUGCAGGUGGGAGUACCUUACAAGACAAUGAAACCUUUUUGCACACCACUGAAAUGAUCAUUCACAGCACUGAAAUGAUCAUUCACAGCACUGAAAUGAUCAUUCACACCACUGAAAUGAUCAUUCACACCACGAAAUGUCCGUUACAUGGUAAUUAUCAUGAAAGCCUAGAAGGUGAUUGGUAUACUGAAGCCUAUUUAGAGUCUAGAUAACUGAUUCACAUAUCUGUCAUUUCAGAAGCUUGCUGCCCAAACAUUCAGUGUGUCCAUAGGCUUGCAGUGGUGUCACGAUGAAUUGUUCUUACACCUAUUGAUACUCAGUCUAGAGCCAAUUACAGAAAGUCCUAGGAUUAAGAUUACACUGACAGAGACGCAUGGGACCUGUUUCACAUCACAGUCAUGAGGUACAGAGCCUGUGUGUUUUCCUCUGUAGGCAUGCAACAAUAUUUCUGCUCUAAUGUGGACCUGUUGCUCUCGGGUUGCUGCUGUUUUGAACCUGAUUCCUUGUUCCCACGUAUCAUUCUUCUCGGUGGUCUGAGGUUUCCUUUCCUUACAAAUCUAUAUGACAGUUUGGAAAACAAAAACACGGGUAAAGCGUCCAGCCCAGUGAAUCGCUUUAGGUGGUAAUUUCCAAGAUAUUUUUGGUGCGGAGCCACAGAGGAAUCCUAGACCCGUCUUUGCGCCUCGUUUUAAGACACCCUGAUCUGUGCUACGGCAGCGUUAGAACCGGUUCCCAUGCCACGUCUCCAACAGAGGGGACGUUAUAGCGGAACAUGCAGCCACACGGAACCCUGGAAUGUAUACUUUAAUCUAAUCAGUAGGCUAUCAAUCCUGGGGUGAGGAGAAGAGGGAGAGAGGGAUGACGAGAAAGGCAGACAGAUAGACGGAGAGACGGGGGGAGGGGGCUUGGACUGGCUUGGACCUCUGACACUCUUGUUGGGUACAAACUGAUUUACUGUCAGUCCAGUGAACAACAUUGUCCUCAAUCGGUUGACGUGGAAGAGAAUCUGUGGACAACCUGAAAGAGCUCAAGUCACACCAGGUACUGUAGAUGUAUUUUGGUUUCUGGGUUAACACCCUUUAUGCCAUAUGAUCGCAUUAGCUGUCAACUAAAGGCUAAACAUGAGUUCAAGAAGCUAACAUGAGUUUUCAGGUCCCAAGACAGUUCAACGCAGGCUCAAUGUAGACUCAAACAUGCCCCUUGAUUUAAUCACUUAAAGUCCCAAGUUGUUACAUUAAAAAGCUAAAAAUACUCUCUACAUUCACUACCUAAGCCACAGAACAACUGCCAGAAACACCCUUCUCGACUUUUCGAUCUUCGCCGUUCCAAACCCCAACCAUAGUCUUCGCCCUCUGAUGUAUCCUUUGGCGUUCAGCAGAACAGUCUCUGGCUGAAUCUGAAUCAGUUAGUCUUUGACGGGUUGCUUUCAGUAGUUCACGCCAUCCCAAAACCUUUUACAGUGCAAAUCAAUGGCCCUCACUGCCUGUGUCUCUGCCCGUCAGAGCUGCCGGUUGAGCUUCUGCGCUUGCCUCACCUUGGAGUCGAAGGUGUACUUGGUGUUCCGAAGCUCCCCCAGGGCCUCCAAAGCCCACUGCAGGUCUUGGGACAGCGCCUCAAACUUCUCCGCCAGCUCCCUCCUCUCCUGUCGGAGCUCCACCACUGUGCAGGUCAGCUCUGUCAUGCUGGGGCCACAGCAGCCCCGGAGCUGCUCCACCUCUGACAGGAGAACUUUCAUGCCCUUCAUCAGCUGCUCCAGGCGCUCAGGAGACUCCAGCACCCGGCAGUCCCCCAUCCCGGCGUUGGGCCGGUCUGUCAGCCGGUGGCACGCCGGAGAAACCCCGCCCCCCCGCUCUCGCCACUCCCGAGGGGACAGACCGUGAGAGCAGGUUGAAGAGACUUAACAGGGUGACCGCCGUCAGCUGCCGCGGAUCCACAGACAGAGGAGAAGGUUUCUUCCAAAGAAGCAACCUAAAUGAGGUGGUGAUCUGAGGGCCAGGAGGUCAACAAGGAGAAAAACCGGGUGAAACAGUUGUAGAGAGUUGAGGAGAAAAUGCUAGAAAACGACGACGCUAGGCAGAAGAGUUGGGUCCUGGUCUGAGUUGGGUCCUGGUCUUCGUCUCUGAACACCUGUAAAAGGUUUUAAAGCAUACUGUAAAUACAGAUCUCAAAGGUAAUCCUGUCUAUGUGUGUGUGUGUGUGUGUGUGUGUGUGUGUGUCUGUCUGUCUG
Long non-coding RNA from Esox lucius (northern pike), 2485 nucleotides. NCBI's taxonomy places the organism in Eukaryota, Metazoa, Chordata, Actinopteri, Esociformes, Esocidae. The record is from Ensembl.